This 31-nucleotide non-coding RNA is filed under the name Rattus norvegicus (Norway rat). The record is from RNAcentral. Lineage: Eukaryota; Metazoa; Chordata; Mammalia; Rodentia; Muridae.
UGAGAACUCCUAAAUUGACAGAUAGUGGCCU